GGGACUAAAUAUAUAACACAAACUUAGCUAGAGUCCAAAGUUGGAGUAGAAGUUGUUGAAACAGUUCCCUUCAUGUAAUUGUUAUAAACAAAGUUCACAAGCUAUUCAUUACCCACUUUGGGCAGGGUGUAUCAGCCAUUUUAAAUCUGCCCUCAAAAGCACAGAACAGAUCAGAUGGCACCUUGCUUAUAGAGGAGAGGGUCUACGAGAACCAAAUUCCAGCUUCAGCGUAUGACCUUGGGUACAGCUACAAGAUGGAGGAAGCUAUUUGACCUGCAUCAGACUUUAUGUGAACACAAGCAGCACUAGUAAAUGCUGUCUUCAAGAUAGGAGUCUGGAGUUAACUCUACUCGUGGCAAAAUCACCACCUGUGCUUCAACUGGCCAUGGCACCAAAUUGACAAUGAGCCCAAUCUCCCUGUAGUUACGCGGAGUGACCAGGUGAACAUGAUGAUUUUUUUGUGCCUUGGGGGUCCUCAGCUGCUGGAACAGG
This 492-nucleotide long non-coding RNA is filed under the name Macaca mulatta (Rhesus monkey). RNAcentral describes it as "lncRNA (ENSMMUG00000056906.1)". The record is from RNAcentral. Lineage: Eukaryota; Metazoa; Chordata; Mammalia; Primates; Cercopithecidae.